GCACAACGCGAAGAACCUUACCAAGGCUUGACAUAUAGCAGAACGCUCUAGAAAUAGAGAACUCUUUGGACACUGUUAUACAGGUGGUGCAUGGUUGUCGUCAGCUCGUGUCGUGAGAUGUUCGGUUAAGUCCGGCAACGAGCGCAACCCUCGUCCUAUGUUGCCAGCGCGUUAUGGCGGGAACUCAUGGGAUACUGCCGUGGUCAACACGGAGGAAGGUGGGGAUGACGUCAAAUCAUCAUGCCCCUUAUGUCUUGGGCUUCACGCAUGCUACAAUGGCCGGUACAAAGGGCUGCGAUACCGCGAGGUGGAGCGAAUCCCAAAAAGCCGGUCUCAGUUCGGAUUGGGGUCUGCAACUCGACCCCAUGAAGUCGGAGUCGCUAGUAAUCGCAGAUCAGCAACGCUGCGGUGAAUACGUUCCCGGGUCUUGUACACACCG
Molecule: ribosomal RNA, 439 nt
Filed under: uncultured bacterium
Lineage: Bacteria
Description: bacterial SSU rRNA
Rfam family: Bacterial small subunit ribosomal RNA
Source: RNAcentral